GGCGGAGGCAGGCGGAUCACCUGAGGUCAGGAGUUGGAGACCAGCCUGACCAACAUGGAGAAACCCCGUCUGUACUAAAAAUACAAAAUUAGCCGGGCAUGGUGGCACACACCUGUAGUCCCAGCUACUCGGGAGGCUGAGGCAGGAGAAUCGCUUGAACCUUGAGAGGCGGAGGUUGCAGUGAGCCGAGAUCGCGCCAUUGCACUCUAGCCUGAGCAACAAGAGCAAAACUCCAUGUCAAAAAGAAAAAAAAAAAGCAAAAUAGAAAUUUCGUACACAGUUUAGCAAUCUGCUCCUAGGUGUUGACCCAAGAGAAAUGAAAGAGCAAGGCCACACAGACGUGUUCAGGAACAACCCAUGAUCCACGCACAGCUGGACAUACGAAGGAGCUGUGUGCGUCCACGCCACGGGGUCCUGCUCAGCAUGGAGAGGGGUGAGCUGCUGGUGUGACGGCGCCACGGGGUCCUGCUCAGCAUGGAGAGGGGUGAGCUGCUGGUGUGACGGCGCCACGGGGUCCUGCUCAGCAUGGAGAGGGGUGAGCUGCUGGUGUGACGGCGCCACGGGGUCCUGCUCAGCAUGGAGAGGGGUGAGCUGCUGGUGUGACUGCAGCACAGGGCAUGCCCAGGAGCUCAUCCCCGCUCCUGCACUGUGGCCAUAGCUCCAGGCAGCCGCGCGCCGACCCCACCCACAGGCCUGGGUGGAGCUGAAGGUCUAAGCCCCAUGCCAGACCCUCAUCCAGGCAGCGACCCCUGGGCACAGGGGGCAUGGCAGGGACACCGAUUUCCUCCUCCUUCUGUCAGUUUGGACAAAGAUUCCAGGGCCACAGACCACCGUCUGGCCGCCCCAAACUGCUUUCUCCAAAAGGGCUUGCCCCAAAGCUUUGCCCACCGAGUCCUGGAGCUGCUGAGCGUCCUGCCGGGCCUCACCUUAGUCUCUCCUGUCGCCUUGUGAGGAAGUGCCUGCUUCCCCUUCCACCAUGAUUGUAAGUUUCCUGAGACCUACCCAGCCAUGGGGAACUAGGUGUGUGUUACUCAGAGGCUGGUGGAGAUGAGAUACACUGCACGUCACAAACCCUGGAGGGACCUGUGAAACUGAAACAGAUGUUGCUGGUAACACAACAGAGGACAAAAACAUGGACUCCUUAAAGAUAGUCAACCAAUCCAAAAGAAAUCAGGAAAAGAAAAAAACAAGGAACAAAGAAUAAAUGAAAAAAAUACAAAACAAAUAGCAAGGUAGUAUACAUAAAUUAAAAUGUAAAAAUUCCAAAUUAAAGGCAGAUAUUUUCAGACUGAAUAAAGGGCAAUAUUCAGCUAUAUACUGUGUAUAUAAAUCCACUUUACAUAUAAAGACACGUAUAGAUUAAAUGUGACAAGAUGGAAAUAAUACAACAUACAAACAUUGAUUAUAAUUAAGCUGAUGUGGCCAUACUAACAUUAGACAAAGCAGACUUCAGAACAAGGAAUAUUAACAGAGAAAAAGAAAAGCAGCCCAUAAUGGAUACAGGGUUCUAUGUAUUAAGAAAAUAUAGGCCGGGUGCGGUGGCUCACGCCUGUAAUCCCAGCACUUUGGGAGGCCGAGGUGGGCGGAUCACGAGG
RNAcentral lists this long non-coding RNA (1595 nucleotides) under Homo sapiens (human). RNAcentral describes it as "HSALNT0067851". Lineage: Eukaryota; Metazoa; Chordata; Mammalia; Primates; Hominidae. The record is from RNAcentral.